This is a long non-coding RNA of Uloborus diversus, 216 nucleotides long. RefSeq lists it as uncharacterized. The record is from RefSeq and is a predicted model, not a curated record. NCBI's taxonomy places the organism in Eukaryota, Metazoa, Arthropoda, Arachnida, Araneae, Uloboridae. The transcript is spliced from 3 exons.
CAGGCUGAAGAAGCUGUCAGUGCUGUGUCAAGACUUGCCCAGGAAAAUGCUGAGCUUCGAGAGCAGUUGCGGGAACUCUCCGAGAAUACGGCUCUCGAGAAUGAGGAACUGAGAAAGGCUCUCGGCAAGGCCCAGCGUGACCUUGAAAUCUCCAACGCAAGGUGCAGGGAAUCGGAGGCAAAAUUACGAUCCCAGGCCUCGAAUGCAGGCCUCCAA